RNAcentral lists this ribosomal RNA (716 nucleotides) under Dyschiriodes sp. 63_EN. RNAcentral describes it as "partial 16S ribosomal RNA". The stretch from base 1 to 537 matches the Rfam family "Bacterial large subunit ribosomal RNA", at positions 1923 to 2925 of the family's 2925-position model. Lineage: Eukaryota; Metazoa; Arthropoda; Insecta; Coleoptera; Carabidae. The record is from RNAcentral.
UUUAACGGCCGCAGUAUUUUGACUGUGCAAAGGUAGCAUAAUCAUUAGUUUUUUAAUUAAAAGCUUGUAUGAAAGGUUGGACGAGAAAAAAUCUGUCUCUAAUUAAUUUAUAAUAGAAUUUUAUUUUUAAGUUAAAAAGCUUAAAUUUAUAUAAAAGACGAGAAGACCCUAUAAAGCUUUAUAUUUAUAUAUAUUUUAUUAAUUAAGAUUAUUUUAAAUUUAAAUAUUUAAAAAUAUUUUAUUGGGGUAAUAAGAAGAUUAAUAUAAUUCUUUUUUUAUUAAAACAAUGAUUUUUGAUUAAAUGAUCCAUUUUUAGUGAUUAUAAGAUUAAGUUACUUUAGGGAUAACAGCGUAAUUUUUUUUAAGAGUUCUUAUCGAUAAAAAAGUUUGCGACCUCGAUGUUGGAUUAAAGAUUAAUUUAGGUGUAGAAUUUUAAAUGUUUGGUCUGUUCGACCAUUAAAUCUUUACAUGAUCUGAGUUCAGACCGGUUUAAGCCAGGUCGGUUUCUAUCUUUAUUUAUUUAAUAUAUUUUAGUACGAAAGGACCAAAUAUUUAAUAUAUUUUAUUUAUUAAUUUGAAUAUUAUUAUUAUUUUGGCAGAUUAGUGCAAUAAAUUUAGAGUUUAUAUAUGUAAUUUAUUUUACAAAUAAUAUUGUUUUAUAUGGAUUUAUUUUUAAUAUUUAUUUGUUUAUUUUUAUUGGUUAUUUGUGUAUUAGU